GAUGAAGAACGUAGCGAAAUGCGAUAAGUAGUGUGAAUUGCAGAAUUCAGUGAAUCAUCGAAUCUUUGAACGCACAUUGCGCCCCUUGGUAUUCCAUGGGGCAUGCCUGUUCGAGCGUCAUUUGUACCCUCAAGCUUUGCUUGGUGUUGGGUGUUUGUCCCGAGGGACUCGCCUUAAAGUAAUUGGCAGCCAGUGUUUGGUUUUGAAGCGCAGCACAAGUCGCGAUUCAAGGCUACACGCCCGCUUCCACAAGCCUUUUUUCACUUUUGACCUCGGAUCAGGUAGGGAUACCCGCUGAACUUAAGCAUAUCAAUAAGCGGAGGA
RNAcentral lists this unclassified non-coding RNA (324 nucleotides) under soil metagenome. RNAcentral's name for it is "partial contains 5.8S ribosomal RNA, internal transcribed spacer 2, and large subunit ribosomal RNA". The stretch from base 1 to 120 matches the Rfam family "5.8S ribosomal RNA", at positions 35 to 154 of the family's 154-position model. The record is from RNAcentral.